UAUCAAAUAAAGGAAUUUCACCUUUGGUAGAUGAUCCUAAAUCAACUGCAUUAACUUUGCUAAUUCGAU
Molecule: transfer RNA, 69 nt
Filed under: Semisulcospira libertina
Lineage: Eukaryota; Metazoa; Mollusca; Gastropoda; Semisulcospiridae
Description: tRNA-Leu
Source: RNAcentral